AUGUAGUCUGGAUAAAGAAGUUACGUAUACAUUUGUCUCAAAUAUAAUUAAUAUAACUUAAUAAAGAAGUGAAAAUACUUCUAAUUUUAAUAAAAGACGAGAAGACCCUUAGAAUUUUAACUAUAAAUAAAUUCUUAUUUAUUUCGUUUUAGUUGGGGCAACUCUAUUACAAAGUAAUAAAUAGUUAAAUAGUUAUAUAGGGCGAUUUAAUAAGUAAAAAUAAAUUACCUAAGGGAUAACAGCAUAAUUUUAAAAGAAAGUUUGUGACCUCGAUGUUGGACAC
RNAcentral lists this ribosomal RNA (283 nucleotides) under Medora pollinensis. Its description in RNAcentral is "partial 16S ribosomal RNA". Lineage: Eukaryota; Metazoa; Mollusca; Gastropoda; Stylommatophora; Clausiliidae. The record is from RNAcentral.